Molecule: long non-coding RNA, 743 nt
Filed under: Rattus norvegicus (Norway rat)
Lineage: Eukaryota; Metazoa; Chordata; Mammalia; Rodentia; Muridae
Description: long non-coding RNA NONRATT000966
Source: RNAcentral
CGUCAACAACAAGCUCUUCAUUCUCUGUGGUGAGUGACAGGAUUGGAGUGAGGGGGAAUGCUGUCAUUAGCAUGCAAUAAAAAUCAUGAGUGUGUUUUUAAGAAGUCUAGUAUAAUAUUUCUGUAGUAUCACAAGGCGAGUUUUCUGUAUGAAUGGUGCUUAGGCAACUUGGAAAGAAUAAAUGUCAAGUGACAGAGCCCACAACUGCACGCAACCUGCUGCCGUGUGUGAGUGGCCCUGGAUAGCUAGGUCACUUUAUAUCCUCCAUUUUCCUGAUCUCUGUGGAAUGAAAAGAUGGAUCUGCUCUACCCCAGAGACAAAAAAUAAACAACUGCAAAAUACUUAUAAAGUACGAAAUGUCAUCAACGCAUUUGGUCUCGUUGACAAGUAAUGAUUCUGUCUCCAAAAACAGGUACCUGGACCUUCGCAAGUUUGGAUCUGUGCCGCAUGGAGGCUUCGGGAUGGGAUUUGAACGCUACUUACAAUGUAUCCUAGGAGUUGACAAUAUCAAAGAUGUUAUCCCUUUUCCAAGAUUUACUCAUUCGUGUCUUUUGUAGCUGAAAGAUUGUUUAAUGAGAAGUUCUCCAUGGCCAUGAGUAUGUAUGGAGAAGACUGGGGGUCUGUGUUCUGGAAAUGUGGAGUUCAGGGCACAAUUCAUAAUAUAUGAAAAAUACAAAUGGUCUUGAUCACCUUGAGGAGUCAAAGGCUUUUCAUGGACAAACUCCUGCAAGGAGAAAUACUAA